UCCUACGGGACGCAGCAGUAGGGAAUUUUCGGCAAUGGGGGGAACCCUGACCGAGCAACGCCGCGUGAACGAAGAAGUAUUUCGGUAUGUAAAGUUCUUUUAUUGGAGAAGAAAGAGAAAUUUGACGGUAACCAAUGAAUAAGCUCCGGCUAACUACGUGCCAGCAGCCGCGGUAAUACGUAGGUGGCAAGCGUUGUCCGGAAUUACUGGGUGUAAAGGGAGCGCAGGCGGGAAGCCAAGUCAGCUGUGAAAACUACGGGCUUAACUUGUAGACUGCAGUUGAAACUGGUUUUCUUGAGUGAAGG
RNAcentral lists this ribosomal RNA (305 nucleotides) under uncultured bacterium. Its description in RNAcentral is "bacterial SSU rRNA". It matches the Rfam family "Bacterial small subunit ribosomal RNA", at positions 337 to 652 of the family's 1533-position model. The record is from RNAcentral.